ACCUAGUGAUGUGGACAUUUAUAGAGCAGGUCCCUAAAGCACUCCAAAGUCUCAAAAAAAGAGUUCCCCAUCCAUCUUUGAAAAACUUGUGAUGACUCUUCAAAGCU
Small nucleolar RNA from Malania oleifera, 107 nucleotides. Lineage: Eukaryota; Viridiplantae; Streptophyta; Magnoliopsida; Santalales; Ximeniaceae. The record is from RefSeq and is a predicted model, not a curated record.